RNAcentral lists this ribosomal RNA (765 nucleotides) under uncultured bacterium. Its description in RNAcentral is "bacterial SSU rRNA". It matches the Rfam family "Bacterial small subunit ribosomal RNA", at positions 667 to 1433 of the family's 1533-position model. The record is from RNAcentral.
UNCCACGUGUAGCAGUGAAAUGNGUAGAGAUGUGGAGGAAUACCGAUGGCGAAGGCAGCNUCCUGGGAUAACACUGACGUUCAUGCCCGAAAGCGUGGGUAGCAAACAGGAUUAGAUACCCCGGUAGUNCACGCCCUAAACGAUGUCGAUUAGCUGUUGGGCAGCAUGACUGCUUAGUAGCGAAGCUAACGCGUGAAAUCGACCGCCUGGGGAGUACGGUCGCAAGAUUAAAACUCAAAGGAAUUGACGGGGACCCGCACAAGCGGUGGAUGAUGUGGAUUAAUUCGAUGCAACGCGAAGAACCUUACCUGGUCUUGACAUGUGCGGAACCCUCCAGAGACGGAGGGGUGCCUUCGGGAGCCGUAACACAGGUGCUGCAUGGCUGUCGUCAGCUCGUGUCGUGAGAUGUUGGGUUAAGUCCCGCAACGAGCGCAACCCUUGUCAUUAGUUGCCAUCAUUAAGUUGGGCACUCUAAUGAGACUGCCGGUGACAAGCCGGAGGAAGGUGGGGAUGACGUCAAGUCCUCAUGGCCCUUAUGACCAGGGCUUCACACGUCAUACAAUGGUCGGUACAGAGGGUAGCCAAGUCGCGAGGUGGAGCCAAUCUCACAAAACCGAUCGUGGUCCGGAUUGCACUCUGCAACUCGAGUGCAUGAAGUCGGAAUCGCUAGUAAUCGCAGGUCAGCAUACUGCGGUGAAUACGUUCCCGGGUCUUGUACACACCGCCCGUCACACCAUGGGAGUGGGGGAUACCAGAAGUAGGUAG